GAUGAACGCUAGCGGCAGGCUUAAUACAUGCAAGUCGAACGGUAACAGGUCUUCGGACGCUGACGAGUGGCGCACGGGUGAGGAACACGUACACAAUCUACCUUAUACUGGAGAAUAGCCCCGGGAAACUGGGAUUAAUACUCCAUAGUCUUUAAUGAUCACAUGAGAAAUAAAGUAAAGCUUCGGCGGUAUAAGAUGAGUGUGCGUCCCAUUAGAUUGUUGGUGAGGUAACGGCUCACCAAGUCGACGAUGGGUAGCUGGCGUGAGAGCGCGACCAGCCACACUGGCACUGAGACACGGGCCAGACUCCUACGGGAGGCAGCAGUAGGGAAUAUUGGUCAAUGGACGAAAGUCUGAACCAGCCAUGCCGCGUGGAGGAUGACUGCCCUCUGGGUUGUAAACUCCUUUUAUAUGGGAAGAUAAUGACGGUACCAUCAGAAGAAGCCCCGGCUAACUCCGUGCCAGCAGCCGCGGUAAUGUC
This 481-nucleotide ribosomal RNA is filed under the name uncultured bacterium. RNAcentral describes it as "bacterial SSU rRNA". It matches the Rfam family "Bacterial small subunit ribosomal RNA", at positions 28 to 526 of the family's 1533-position model. The record is from RNAcentral.